GCGGCCUAUCAGCUUGUUGGUGAGGUAAUGGCUCACCAAGGCAACGACGGGUAGCCGGCCUGAGAGGGCGACCGGCCACACUGGGACUGAGACACGGCCCAGACUCCUACGGGAGGCAGCAGUGGGGAAUAUUGGGCAAUGGACGCAAGUCUGACCCAGCGACGCCGCGUGCGGGAUGAAGGCCUUAGGGUUGUAAACCGCUUUCAGCAGGGAAGAAGCGAAAGUGACGGUACCUGCAAAAGAAGCACCGGCUAACUAUGUGCCAGCAGCCGCGGUAAUACAUAGGGUGCAAGCGUUGUCCGGAAUUAUUGGGCGUAAAGAGUUCGUAGGUGGUUCGUUACGUCGGAUGUGAAAAUCUGGGGCUCAACCCCAGACCUGCAUUCGAUACGGGCGAGCUAGAGUUUGGUAGGGGAGACUGGAAUUCCU
This 426-nucleotide ribosomal RNA is filed under the name uncultured Actinomycetes bacterium. Its description in RNAcentral is "bacterial SSU rRNA". It matches the Rfam family "Bacterial small subunit ribosomal RNA", at positions 233 to 671 of the family's 1533-position model. Lineage: Bacteria; Bacillati; Actinomycetota; Actinomycetes. The record is from RNAcentral.